Molecule: non-coding RNA, 224 nt
Organism: Cinara cedri
Lineage: Eukaryota; Metazoa; Arthropoda; Insecta; Hemiptera; Aphididae
Source: the annotation of a GenBank genome assembly
AAAAUAGCUGGUAGAAAAGUUGUGCACAGAAAAAAAGAAGACCGUAAUAUAUUUUAACUAAUAUUUACCCGCUUUUUUUUUCGGUUUUCAAAUUUGAUGAGACAACUUCAGAGAAAAUCAAAAAAUGAACUCCCUAAAAUACCUCCCCACGCCGAAUUCUUUUCAGAAAAUGUACUACACAUUGAAAUCCGAUCAAGUAUUCUAGUAGAAAAGUUAUUAACAGA